This 775-nucleotide ribosomal RNA is filed under the name uncultured Neocallimastigales. RNAcentral's name for it is "partial large subunit ribosomal RNA". It matches the Rfam family "Eukaryotic large subunit ribosomal RNA", at positions 24 to 645 of the family's 3401-position model. The record is from RNAcentral. Lineage: Eukaryota; Fungi; Neocallimastigomycota; Neocallimastigomycetes; Neocallimastigales.
UAUCUCUGUAGAGUCUGCAUAUCAAUAAGCGGAGGAAAAGAAACUAACAAGGAUUCCCUUAGUAACGGCGAGUGAAGCGGGAAGAGCUCAAAUUUGAAAUCUUCAAGGUUUUACCUUGACGAAUUGUAGUUUAAAGAAGUGUUUUCUGUUGGAGUUUCGGUAAAAGUUCUUUGGAAUAGGACAUCAUGGAGGGUGAGAAUCCCGUAUUUGACCGUUAUUUUCAGCUGUGUGAUACACUUUCAAAGAGUCGGAUUGUUUGGGAAUGCAGUCCAAAAUGGGUGGUAAAUUUCAUCUAAAGCUAAAUAUUGGCGAGAGACCGAUAGCGAACAAGUACCGUGAGGGAAAGAUGAAAAGAACUUUGAAAAGAGAGUUAAACAGUACGUGAAAUUGUCAAAAGGGAAGCGUUUGACACCAGUGUUGUUUUCUCGAAAAUCAAUUAAAAAUGGCUUGAUUUUGUGUUGUAUUGACCUUAAAAGCUUUCUUCACUUUUUUCAUGUCUUUUUUAAUGCACUUUUCGUUUAACAAGUCAACAUCAGUUUCUUUUGUUGUAAAAAGGUCAUUGGAAGGUGGCUUUCUUUUCGGAGAAAGUGUUUAUAGCCUUUGACUCCUGCAAUCGGAGAGACUGAGGUCUGCAGCGUAGAUCCUUCUUGGAUUAGAUUCAUUUGUGCUAAGUUAUAGCUUUUCAUAGACAACUUGUUGACUAUGUUUAGUCUUGUAGCUUACUCGCUUAUGUAAUUUUACCUACGCUUAGGAUGUUGAUCUCUCACAGUCGAGC